CCUACGGGAGGCAGCAGUGGGGAAUAUUGGACAAUGGGGGCAACCCUGAUCCAGCGAUGCCGCGUGUGUGAAGAAGGCCUGCGGGUUGUAAAGCACUUUAGUUGGGGAGGAGGAGAUGCGUGUUAAUAGUACGCAUUGAAGACGUUACCCAAAGAAUAAGCACCGGCUAACUCUGUGCCAGCAGCCGCGGUAAUACAGAGGGUGCAAGCGUUAAUCGGAAUUACUGGGCGUAAAGGGCGCGUAGGCGGUUACGUAAGUCAGUUGUGAAAUCCCCGAGCUUAACUUGGGAGUUGCAAUUGAAACUAUGUGACUAGAGUAGAGUAGAGGGGAGAGGAAUUUCCGGUGUAGCGGUGAAAUGCGUAGAUAUCGGAAGGAACACCAGUGGCGAAGGCGUCUCUCUGGACUCAUACUGACGCUGAUGCGCGAAAGUGUGGGUAGCGAACAGGAUUAGAUACCCUGGUAGUCCACGCCGUAAACGAUGGAAGCUAGCCGUCGGGCGGUAUACCGUUCGGUGGCGCAGCUAACGCAUUAAGCUUCCCGCCUGGGGAGUACGGUCGCAAGAUUAAAACUCAAAGGAAUUGACGG
RNAcentral lists this ribosomal RNA (585 nucleotides) under uncultured Legionellales bacterium. Its description in RNAcentral is "bacterial SSU rRNA". It matches the Rfam family "Bacterial small subunit ribosomal RNA", at positions 338 to 916 of the family's 1533-position model. The record is from RNAcentral. Lineage: Bacteria; Pseudomonadati; Pseudomonadota; Gammaproteobacteria; Legionellales.